RNAcentral lists this ribosomal RNA (433 nucleotides) under uncultured bacterium. RNAcentral's name for it is "partial 16S ribosomal RNA". It matches the Rfam family "Bacterial small subunit ribosomal RNA", at positions 29 to 507 of the family's 1533-position model. The record is from RNAcentral.
AACGAACGCUGGCGGCAUGCCUAACACAUGCAAGUCGAACGAACCCUUCGGGGUUAGUGGCGCACGGGUGCGUAACGCGUGGGAAUCUGCCCUUUGCUUCGGAAUAACUCAGGGAAACUUGUGCUAAUACCGGAUGAUGUCUUCGGACCAAAGAUUUAUCGGCAAGGGAUGAGCCCGCGUAGGAUUAGGUAGUUGGUGGGGUAAAGGCCUACCAAGCCGACGAUCCUUAGCUGGUCUGAGAGGAUGAUCAGCCACACUGGGACUGAGACACGGCCCAGACUCCUACGGGAGGCAGCAGUGGGGAAUAUUGGACGAUGGGCGCAAGCCUGAUCCAGCAAUGCCGCGUGAGUGAUGAAGGCCCUCGGGUCGUAAAGCUCUUUUACCAGGGAUGAUAAUGACAGUACCUGGAGAAUAAGCUCCGGCUAACUCCGUG